UACGUAGGCGAAAGAUUAAGUCAGUGGUGAAAUCCUGCAGCUUAACUGUAGAACUGUCAUUGAUACUGGUUUUCUUGAAUUUAGUUGAGGUAGGCGGAAUGUGUAAUGUAGCGGUGAAAUGCUUAGAUAUUACACAGAACACCGAUUGCGAAGGCAGCUUACUAAACUAUGAUUGACGCUGAGGUACGAAAGCGUGGGGAGCGAACAGGAUUAGAUACCCUGGUAGUCC
RNAcentral lists this ribosomal RNA (229 nucleotides) under uncultured bacterium. RNAcentral describes it as "partial 16S ribosomal RNA". It matches the Rfam family "Bacterial small subunit ribosomal RNA", at positions 568 to 796 of the family's 1533-position model. The record is from RNAcentral.